AGCUACAGCUGCCAACCUACACCACAGCCACAGCCACACCAGCUCCAAGCCGCAUCUGCAACCUACACCACAGCUCAUGGCAACGCCAGAUCCUUAACCCACUGAGAAAGGCCAGGGAUGGAACCCGCAACCUCAUGGUUCCUAGUCAGACUGUUUCUGCUGCACCACAACGGGAACUCCAAUACUAAGCUUUUUUCAGCAAAGUGCUGCCUCUUCUCAGACGUCUCGGCAACUCUGCUGUCCCAUCUGCCCCACAUAACUGCCUUUGAACACGCUAUUUCUGCUCACAUGGCUUUAUGAGACCAAUAGUCUAAAAAUACGUCUUUUGGGAAUUCUGAUGCUUUUCCAGGGAUAAUGACUGGCUUUCUGGCCACAGCUGAUGUUCAACAACAGCGUUUACUUGUGUAGAAAAUUUAUGAGCUAAAUGAAUGUAGAAUGAUUUCAUGGACAAAUGUGUAUUUUAUGGCACUCUUUGUAAAUUGCAUUGAGCUAUAAAACAAACACAACAAACACAAUACCAGCACUUCAGAGGUUUUUCCACACAUACGGCAACUGGAAAUAUUUUGACUGGAAUACAGCAUCUUGAAAAUGUAAUUCGUUGAGACAAUCCACCCAAUAAACAACCAGCAGCAUCUUCGCAAUGUCCACACUCCUAUCCUCGGAGUACCACACACUAUGACAAGGAAGCAUGGGGACAGGACCCGAACAAAGAAUAGAGUUAAACAUUUUGUGUUAAUGUGUUCUUAGGGAAAAUGCCCUAGUACAUGAGGAAGAGACAUCACCUAGGUACUGCCCGCAUUCACACUGAAUUGUUACAGCUGAAAAAAUCUGGACACAGCUAUUAGCACAUACUUGGCCAGAAUAAGUCAGAACACAUGUUUUAGCUUCACGGCAACAGGCUGUGAGCGUUUUGUCAUCGGUUCUCUGAAGGCUUCCCGAAAUGUGUCCGUGUUCCAGGUGUCCGUUUGCCUCAGUUAGUACCAAGAUAAAGACCUUUCGAGAUGUAGGCUAACUUCAGAGAACAAACGCGUUUACUGGCUAAAGUGGCAGAGCUCUUGCUGAUGUUCCGGGAAGUUCCGCGUGACCACCUAACGUUAAAAUACCCACUCUGACUUAUGUAACGAAUGGAUCUGUUUAGAAUGUUAUUAUUCCAAAGAGACCAGUGUUCGUAAUGAGUAAUUCAUUCCUGGGAGUUCCCUGUAGUUGUCUAGAGGUUGGGAUGCUGCGCUUUCACCGCUGCUGCCCAGGUUCGGUCCCUGGUCUGGGACUGACAUGGAGCCAGUGCUUGUCAAGCCAAAGCAAGGAAGCAAUCCAUCAUUACUUCAGCAGCGGCAAAUGUCUGCCUUUUGACCAGAAAUGUGUACUCGUCUUAUCCAACAGUGAUAAAAACCACUUAGUGACGGAAACAUUUAUUUAAAGAGUGAUUUGUUUUUUCCCAAGAGCGUGUCCCACAGAAUAUGGGAGGAUGUCAACUGCUUCUUAUGCACAUUAGCCUAUUGCACGGUCUGAGAAAUCUUGCAAUAAAUCAGUUCGAGUUUAACUCAGCACUUCCCAAACUUAUUUGACUGUGGAAUCCUUACAUUCCAUAAAAGAUAUUAACUUCAGGCAAAGAGUACUUUUUGGGGGGUGGGGGCUGCACCCAUGGCAUUUGGAAGUUCCCGGGCCAGAGAUCAAACCCACACCGCAGGUGAGACCCGGUGCCACAGCUGUGACAACACCAGAUCUUUAACCCAUGGGGGACACUGCAUCACACAAAAAGUACUUUAAAAGGCUUGAGACAGAAAAGAUACGGCCAAGUUUUCUUUGUACACUUCAUUUCUAUUUCCUAAAUAAUCUGUUUUCAAAUUUUCCAAAUCUAUAUUUUUUUCCUUUAAGCCCCACUAAGUCUCAUUCUUUGUUUUUUAAUAGAGGCUGUGAUAAACUGGCGACCUCAACCUCAACUUCUGCAUGGUCCCCUCAAUGCAGCAAACACUCACCAAGGCCCUGUGCUUGGCACCGUAAAACUGCCACGUCAAACCUUGGUUUCCACGUCGGCAGACUCAAUAGACCAAAGCCCUAUUUUUUUCCCUAUAUUUUUCAAAAAUAUCUACAAUCAUUUCGAAUUAUAAGAAUGGCCACUAACUACAGCAGGCCAGUGAAUGCAGUGCACUGCAAGAAUCAGGAACCACUCUAAACAUCGAGCCUGGUCAGAUAUUUUGCUGCACAUUCCCUCUGUAAAGUGGGAUUCUUUGAAAAUUUUAUGUGAAAUCACUGUAUCAACCCUCACCCCCGUGGCUCUUUUUUUGUGAAGGCACUCCACUACAGCCAUGUCUCUCUAAGCAAAGUAUUUUAAAUUUCAUAAUUAAAUCAUAAUAAAUACAUUAAGACAGGGCGUUAUAUUUUCAACCUACGGAACAUGUCAGUAAAUAGAAUCGUCUCAUACCCAAUUACUCAAUUCAGAAACAAAACGGUUUCAUUGGGUGCACAGUGAUUGGUGAUUAAAAAUUAGACCCUGUUGACAAUGAAUUUCCAGUAAUUUUUUAUUUUUAAACUUACUAUUGUUUUUUAAAAUACAUAAAAGAUUUUUAAAAAAAUGUUUUUUGUCUUUUGUCUUUUUAGGGCUGCACCCUCUGCACAUGGAGGUUCCCAGGCUAGGGGUCAAAUCAGAGCUGCAGUUGCCAGCUGAUGCCACAGUCACACCAGAUCUGAGCCAUGUCUGCGACCUACACCACAGCUCAGGGCAACGCCAGAUCCUUCACCCACGGAGCGAGGCCAGGGAUCAAACCCGUGUCCUCAUGGAUACUAGUCAGGUUCAUUAGCCACCGAGGCACGACGGGAACUCCCAUAAAAGAUCUUUUUAUUUGAUCUGUUGCCUACUAAAAAUAUCAGUACUGAUAAUAAUCCAUUAACUACCUUAAUGGCUAGAGGACUACACUCAUGGAAGAGAAAGAACUUUAAAAUUUUUAUUUACAUGCAUUCUUAUUUCAGAUAAGUAUGAUAGGGUGAUAAACAAAAGGCUAUCAAACAUAUGAAAAAUUCAUUAAAAUGAAAUAAAAUUCUGUAGGGUAAGUGGAAUGAAACUGAAGUCAAGAAGGGACAUCAGCGCGAAACAUUUUCAAUAGAACAGCUUGCCUGGGUUUUUAAAUGGGAUCUAGUGUCUCCAUCUGCUUUGGCAUUUAGUUUCCAUUGGAUACAUUUUGAAAGGUGGCAUACAAUAUACCAGGUGUGACACCCUGUAUAAGAAUUUAAAUUAUGGUGAAAAUGUUAGAUACAAACUUAAAAAAUACACGAAGACUAUAGAGUUUUUUAAAACUCUUCUAGGAGUAAAGGAACAAUAUGUUUGAAGAGCACAGAUUUAGGGAAGCGGGGGAGAAAACAAAGGCACGAGGGAAAGGUAGCAGCACUGCUGGAGCACUAAGGGUUCGGCAGGUUAGUUCUCAUGAAUUCAAAAUGAGACAAGCCACUUCUGCAGGAUUUUCUCCAUUCACAUGCAGGCCUGCAAGUGCAGGUGUGGAGGGGGAGGGGCACUGGAUUGAACCAGAGUUGGCGUUUUGCCAGGCAACAAUAAUAAAGCAAAAAAUAGAAGCAAGUGAGUUGACAGUGUCUGCAAGGGAGUGAUUAUAAGGAUGGACCGUGGAGUCUAAACUAAGUUUUGGGGGAAAUGGGACAAUGGAGACUUAAGGGAUCGUUUCAAAAGGUGUGGGAACAGGGGGUUACAGGACUCGUGAGAGCCAAAGAGUAAAUCUAGAGAACUAAAGAGAGCUGGGGGUAGCACUGAGAAAAGAGAUGCUGAAAUUGAGGUUGCAGAGGGACUGCAGAUGUUGGUAAGACCUGGGGUCUGAAGGUGGGGUGGGACAGAUGAGGCUGGUUGGCCGACAAGUUCACUGGAGGAGAAGAGAGCCAGAUCUGAGUGGCCGUCUUGGAAGGUGCAUCUCCACGCUGACUGAGUCUCGAGGCGUAUGACAGACAUAGGGAUUGUUAAAUUAUUUAAACAAUAGGCCAUUUGACUGAGGUGACCCUAACGUCCUGGAGGCUGACACAAGUAAGCACAUCAACAUCUAAGCCAUGAAUUCCUCAAGGUUACAAAAUGAAAACCCAAGGACAAUCAAUCACAAGAGCCAGCAGGACCUUAAGCCACAGUCAAUCAAUAACCUCCUUGCUUUGUAUCUGCCUUUUCUCUACAAAAGUCCUUCCCUGAGCACCUGUCGAGGAAGCUCUCCCUAGUCAUUUCUGGCUUGGCGCUGUCUGAUUAAAAUCAUUUUUUGCUCAAGUAGACUCUUGAAAUUUUUCAUAUGCUUCAGUUUAUAUUUUAACAGUUCAACAAGACCGACAGAUCCAGGCACUUAAGCUGAAGUCCGCGGAGGACAUCAAGAAGCAGGGGUGAGAGAUGUUAUCGUCUGAAGACAUGAUUUUCAAAGCUGGGAGACCGGAGAAGACGAAGGAAAACGGUCUAGAAACCCAAGUCCCAGGGGCAUGAAAACGUAAAAGCUGCCAUUACAGGAGGGCUCCAGAGAGACAGUGUCCUUGAGGAGGAGCCAGUUGGCCACGAAGAGACCAUCAAAGAAGAGCUCCGGAGAGCACAGUGAAAGGGACUCAGACAUGGGAAAGGAAAGGAAGACCGAGUCAGAAAAGGAAAUGAAACCCCAGGAGUAAGGACGCCUAGACAUCCCGAGUAUCC
This 4657-nucleotide long non-coding RNA is filed under the name Sus scrofa (pig). RNAcentral's name for it is "lncRNA (ENSSSCG00030006793.1)". The record is from RNAcentral. Lineage: Eukaryota; Metazoa; Chordata; Mammalia; Artiodactyla; Suidae.